UAGGGAAUCUUCCGCAAUGGGCGAAAGCUUGACGGAGCAACGCCGCGUGAGUGAUGAAGGUCUUCGGAUCGUAAAACUCUGUUAUUAGGGAAGAACAAAUGUGUAAGUAACUAUGCACGUCUUGACGGUACCUAAUCAGAAAGCCACGGCUAACUACGUGCCAGCAGCCGCGGUAAUACGUAGGUGGCAAGCGUUAUCCGGAAUUAUUGGGCGUAAAGCGCGCGUAGGCGGUUAUUUAAGUCUGAUGUGAAAGCCCACGGCUCAACCGUGGAGGGUCAUUGGAAACUGGAAAACUUGAGUGCAGAAGAGGAAAGUGGAAUUCCAUGUGUAGCGGUGAAAUGCGCAGAGAUAUGGAGGAACACCAGUGGCGAAGGCGACUUUCUGGUCUGUAACUGACGCUGAUGUGCGAAAGCGUGGGGAUCAAACAGG
Molecule: ribosomal RNA, 429 nt
Filed under: Actinomycetes bacterium
Lineage: Bacteria; Bacillati; Actinomycetota; Actinomycetes
Description: Actinobacteria bacterium partial 16S ribosomal RNA
Rfam family: Bacterial small subunit ribosomal RNA
Source: RNAcentral